AGGCGUGCUUAACACAUGCAAGUCGAACGAAGCACUUUAUUUGAUUUCUUCGGAAUGAAUAUUUUGUGACUGAGUGGCGGACGGGUGAGUAACGCGUGGGUAACCUGCCUCAUACGGGGGGAUAACAGUUGGAAACGACUGCUAAUACCGCAUAAGCGCACAGGGUCGCAUGACCUGGUGUGAAAAACUCCGGUGGUAUGAGAUGGACCCGCGUCUGAUUAGCCAGUUGGGUGGGGUAACGGCCUACCAAAGCGACGAUCAGUAGCCGACCUGAGAGGGUGACCGGCCACAUUGGGACUGAGACACGGCCCAAACUCCUACGGGAGGCAGCAGUGGGGAAUAUUGCACAAUGGGGGAAACCCUGAUGCAGCGACGCCGCGUGAGCGAAGAAGUAUUUCGGUAUGUAAAGCUCUAUCAGCAGGGAAGAAGAAAUGACGGUACCUGACUAAGAAGCACCGGCUAAAUACGUGCCAGCAGCCGCGGUAAUACGUAUGGUGCAAGCGUUAUCCGGAUUUACUGGGUGUAAAGGGAGCGCAGGCGGUACGGCAAGUCUGAUGUGAAAGCCCGGGGCUCAACCCCGGUACUGCAUUGGAAACUGUCGGACUAGAGUGUCGGAGGGGUAAGUGGAAUUCCUAGUGUAGCGGUGAAAUGCGUAGAUAUUAGGAGGAACACCAGUGGCGAAGGCGGCUUACUGGACGAUUACUGACGCUGAGGCUCGAAAGCGUGGGGAGCAAACAGGAUUAGAUACCCUGGUAGUCCACGCCGUAAA
This 769-nucleotide ribosomal RNA is filed under the name uncultured bacterium. Its description in RNAcentral is "bacterial SSU rRNA". It matches the Rfam family "Bacterial small subunit ribosomal RNA", at positions 40 to 806 of the family's 1533-position model. The record is from RNAcentral.